GUACUUACCCAGAGUGGAGAUGCCAUGUUCAUAAAAGUGAUUUUCUCAGAGUGAGGAUUACCCAUUUUAUUCAAUGUGCUGACUUCUGUGAGUUUCAAAAUUUGAAAAUUUGACUGUAUUACUUGUGGCAUUGAAGGGCUGAGUUCACACCAUCCCCUG
This 159-nucleotide small nuclear RNA is filed under the name Oryctolagus cuniculus (rabbit). RNAcentral's name for it is "U1 spliceosomal RNA (ENSOCUG00000021534.1)". It matches the Rfam family "U1 spliceosomal RNA". From Rfam's summary of the family: U1 is a small nuclear RNA (snRNA) component of the spliceosome (involved in pre-mRNA splicing). Its 5' end forms complementary base pairs with the 5' splice junction, thus defining the 5' donor site of an intron. There are significant differences in sequence and secondary structure between metazoan and yeast U1 snRNAs, the latter being much longer (568 nucleotides as compared to 164 nucleotides in human). The record is from RNAcentral. Lineage: Eukaryota; Metazoa; Chordata; Mammalia; Lagomorpha; Leporidae.